This 460-nucleotide ribosomal RNA is filed under the name uncultured bacterium. RNAcentral's name for it is "partial 16S ribosomal RNA". It matches the Rfam family "Bacterial small subunit ribosomal RNA", at positions 338 to 795 of the family's 1533-position model. The record is from RNAcentral.
CCUACGGGUGGCAGCAGUGAGGAAUAUUGGUCAAUGGACGAGAGUCUGAACCAGCCAAGUAGCGUGAAGGAUGACUGCCCUAUGGGUUGUAAACUUCUUUUAUAUGGGAAUAAAAUGUUCCACGUGUGGGAUUUUGUAUGUACCAUAUGAAUAAGGAUCGGCUAACUCCGUGCCAGCAGCCGCGGUACUACGGAGGAUCCGAGCGUUAUCCGGAUUUAUUGGGUUUAAAGGGAGCGUAGGUGGAUUGUUAAGUCAGUUGUGAAAGUUUGCGGCUCAACCGUAAAAUUGCAGUUGAAACUGGCAGUCUUGAGUACAGUAGAGGUGGGCGGAAGUCGUGGUGUAGCGGUGAAAUGCUUAGAUAUCACGAAGAACUCCGAUUGCGAAGGCAGUUCACUGGACUGCAACUGACACUGAGGCUCGAAAGUGUGGGUAUCAAACAGGAUUAGAUACCCUGGUAGUC